This 73-nucleotide transfer RNA is filed under the name candidate division WWE3 bacterium RIFCSPHIGHO2_01_FULL_42_13. RNAcentral describes it as "tRNA-Trp". It matches the Rfam family "tRNA". From Rfam's summary of the family: Transfer RNA (tRNA) molecules are approximately 80 nucleotides in length. The record is from RNAcentral. Lineage: Bacteria; candidate division WWE3.
GCGCGCGUAGCUCAAUUGGCAGAGUAGCGGUCUCCAAAACCGCAGGUUGCGAGUUCGAGUCUCGCCGCGCGUA